Molecule: long non-coding RNA, 682 nt
Organism: Cynara cardunculus var. scolymus (artichoke)
Lineage: Eukaryota; Viridiplantae; Streptophyta; Magnoliopsida; Asterales; Asteraceae
Exons: 2
Source: RefSeq, a predicted model, not a curated record
ACCCAAACUUUACUCGAAUUCAAUCGAACCCUAAAGCAACCUUGGAAGCAUCAAUACGACCGAAUAAGCGGACCCCAUAACAGAAUUAAAUCGGGUUUAAUCCCCAAAUCGAUGUAUAAAAUGGGCAUCCAUCUUGGUUCAGGGUGUUGAACAAGAUACCAGAAUUCAUCGAGAUCCGGCGGUGCUCGUCGGAUUUCGUCCUAUAACCAUCAUGAUGAAGGUUUCGUGUUCUACCAUCGUCGCAUCUCUUCUCGCUGCAUCCACAGCUGCUCUCUCCUCCUCCCAUUCAAACCCUAAUCUCCAGGAAUUGAGAGGGCGAAUAGGCGAAGAAAGCAGUUUAGAGAAGGAGAAAUUCGCACCGAGGUUCGAUGGGUUAAGGUUCAUCGAGACAUUGGUGACAGCCCACAAGUGACAGAAGUUGCAGGUUUUCCAUUUCCAACCAUUUUUCAUGCCAAAGUUGCAAUCUUUUUCUUUUCCUUUUUCAUUUAGGAAGAGGAACAAUUGGUUGUAGGAUUGUGACGUUUUGAUUUGGUGUGAUGGGGUUGGAUCAUAUCGUUUCUUUCUGAGUUUAAGAUCCCAAUUUGUUGGGCGCCAAAUGUAUUACCUUUUGAGCAUUAUCAUCUUUUUCUUCAACUCUUGAUGCAUUCAGAAAUUGCAUAGCUUUCUGGUGUAGUUUCAGAUC